GAUGAACGCUGGCGGCGUGCCUAAUACAUGCAAGUCGAGCGAACGGACGAGAAGCUUGCUUCUCUGAUGUUAGCGGCGGACGGGUGAGUAACACGUGGAUAACCUACCUAUAAGACUGGGAUAACUUCGGGAAACCGGAGCUAAUACCGGAUAAUAUUAUGAACCGCAUGGUUCAAAAGUGAAAGACGGUCUUGCUGUCACUUAUAGAUGGAUCCGCGCUGCAUUAGCUAGUUGGUAAGGUAACGGCUUACCAAGGCAACGAUGCAUAGCCGACCUGAGAGGGUGAUCGGCCACACUGGAACGGGGACACGGUCCAGACUCCUACGGGAGGCAGCAGUAGGGUAUCUUCCGCAAUGGGCGAAAGCCUGACGGAGCGACGCCGCGUGAGUGAUGAAGGUCUUCGGAGCGUAAAACUCUGUUAUUAGGGAAGAACAGAUGUGUAAGUAGCUGUGCACAGCUUGACGGUACCGAAUCAGAAAGCCACGGCUAACUACGUG
Molecule: ribosomal RNA, 497 nt
Filed under: uncultured bacterium
Lineage: Bacteria
Description: partial 16S ribosomal RNA
Rfam family: Bacterial small subunit ribosomal RNA
Source: RNAcentral